CUAUGCGCCUUGCCAGCCCGCUCAGGUGUGCCAGCCGCCGCGGUAAUACGUAGGUGGCAAGCGUUGUCCGGAUUUACUGGGUGUAAAGGGCGUGUAGCCGGGCCGGCAAGUCAGAUGUGAAAUCCCAAGGCUCAACCUUGGAACUGCAUUUGAAACUGUUGGUCUUGAGUAUCGGAGAGGCAGGCGGAAUUCCUAGUGUAGCGGUGAAAUGCGUAGAUAUUAGGAGGAACACCAGUGGCGAAGGCGGCCCGCUGGACGGCGACUGACGUUGAGGCUCGAAAGCGUGGGGAGCAAACAGG
RNAcentral lists this ribosomal RNA (299 nucleotides) under uncultured bacterium. RNAcentral's name for it is "partial 16S ribosomal RNA". It matches the Rfam family "Bacterial small subunit ribosomal RNA", at positions 475 to 776 of the family's 1533-position model. The record is from RNAcentral.